Molecule: non-coding RNA, 1135 nt
Organism: Pocillopora verrucosa
Lineage: Eukaryota; Metazoa; Cnidaria; Anthozoa; Scleractinia; Pocilloporidae
Source: RefSeq, a predicted model, not a curated record
GUUGUACAGCUGUGGAAAUGUUGACGGGAAGCCCUCCGCUGGGUGACCUCGAACCAAUGGCGGCCAUCUUCCUUAUUGGAUCUAAGCCAACGGUACCAAAGUUGCCGAAGGAUACAUCAAAAGCUACAAAGGAUCUUAUUGCGGCUGCUUUGACAUGGAAACCUCAGAAACGACCAUGGUCGAACGAUUUGCUGGAUGAAUUUUUUUGAAGUGCCGUUCGGAAAUGUUUUUGGGGGCCUCUCGGAUGUUCCAAUCAAAGACUGAUCCAUGUGUCUAUGUAAUCAAAGUAAACCAAAACGAAAGUAGUUUUAUAAGAGUUCUUUGCAACUAUGCUUGAUGCAACUCUUGUUAAUGUAAUGAUGGAAUUUAAAAAUGGGAGAGGUUUGGUGAAUUUCCUCCUAUCUGUCAGAAAAAUUGCCCUCCGGGGUCCCUCAGGGAAAAACUUAGACCCAUGACCAUUUCUUGUACUUAUAAAUAAUUGAUAUGUUGACAAUUUAGCUAAUGUACCGAAGUACGUUGACGAUAUGACCGUAUCUGAAGUCGUUGCCAAGGGCAACCGAAAUUGUACCCUGGAGAUUGCGCAUAAGGUUGCGGAGUGGUCUACGCAGAAUAGAGUCCACCUCAAUAGCGAGAAAUGUAAGGAGCUCAGGAUAUCUUUUGUAAAGGAUAAGCCACAGUUUUUCAUGGUAAUGAACUAGAGAGGGUGUCUAGUGCUAAACCACUAGGUCUAACCAUUACGAGCAACCUUACAUUGAACGAGCAUAUUAGUCAGGCGCAUUUUUCUUUAGAAAGAAGUCUUCAAACCCGAGCCUAGAUUCAUCAGUAGAAGAGUUCAUAGACGGACAGGAAAAUGAAAACACCACAAGACCAAACACGAUGUUGCUCUGUUCCACGAAUUUCUUGUUUUGAAAGGCGAGUUGAGACAAAUGGACGAAUUGACUCUUCAAGAGCUGAAUGAAGUCUUGGGUUUUCACCUCUGCAUAUCAAAUUUUGAACUUCCUUAGAACUAUCUCGACAUAUUUUCAGGAUGUCUUUUUUUUAAUCAAAUUAGUUCUACCUUUUAACGGGACUUUUGCUAAAUAAUUUAAACGUAAAGUAUUUUACAAGGAAGCCAUUUCAGUGCAACUCUCGAAUA